GUGGCGACCGGCGCACGGGUGCGUAACGCGUAUGCAACCUACCUUAUACUGAGGGAUAGCCCAGAGAAAUUUGGAUUAAUACCUCAUAGUAUCAUUUGAAGGCAUCUGAGAAUGAUUAAAGAUUUAUCGGUAUAAGAUGGGCAUGCGUAAGAUUAGUUAGUUGGUGAGGUAACGGCUCACCAAGACUUCGAUCUUUAGGGGUUCUGAGAGGAUGAUCCCCCACACUGGUACUGAGAUACGGACCAGACUUC
RNAcentral lists this ribosomal RNA (251 nucleotides) under uncultured Bacteroidota bacterium. RNAcentral describes it as "uncultured Bacteroidetes bacterium partial 16S ribosomal RNA". It matches the Rfam family "Bacterial small subunit ribosomal RNA", at positions 88 to 339 of the family's 1533-position model. Lineage: Bacteria; Pseudomonadati; Bacteroidota. The record is from RNAcentral.